CAGGUGCCAGCAGCCGCGGUAAUUCCAGCUCCAAUAGCGUAUCUUAAUGUUGUUGCAGUUAAAAAGCUCGUAGUUGAAAUUCUGGGCCGGGCCGGCUUCCGUUUCGGUCGCCUCCGUCCGAGUCCAUCCGCCUGGGGACUUGCUUGUAGUUUACUCUACGGCAUGCACAACCAGGCACUUUACUUUGAAGAAAUUAGAGUGUUUCAGGCAGGCUUUCGCUUGUAUACACCAGCAUGGAAUAAUAGAAAAGGACUGCUUCAAUUUUAUUGGUAUAUUUGGAGUAGUAAUGAUUAACAGGAACAGUUGGGGGCAUUCGUAUUUAGUAGUUAGAGGUGAAAUUCUUGGAUUUACUAAGGACGAACUAAUGCGAAAGCAUUUGCCAAGGAUGUUUUCAUUAAUCAAGAACGAAAGUUGGGGGCUCGAAGACGAUCAGAUACCGUCCUAGUCUUAACCAUAAACUAUGCCGACUAGGGAUCGGCGGAUGUUAAUUUUUCGACUCCGCCGGCACCUUGUGUGAAAACAAAGUUUUUGGGUUCUGGGGGAAGUAUGGUCGCAAGGCUGAAACU
RNAcentral lists this ribosomal RNA (566 nucleotides) under Euplotes focardii. Its description in RNAcentral is "partial Eukaryotic small subunit ribosomal RNA". It matches the Rfam family "Eukaryotic small subunit ribosomal RNA", at positions 561 to 1144 of the family's 1831-position model. The record is from RNAcentral. Lineage: Eukaryota; Ciliophora; Spirotrichea; Euplotida; Euplotidae.